CAGUCGCCGCGGGAAUACGAAGGGGGCUAGCGUUGUUCGGAUUUACUGGGCGUAAAGCGCACGUAGGCGGAUCGAUCAGUCAGGGGUGAAAUCCCAGAGCUCAACUCUGGAACUGCCUUUGAUACUGUCGAUCUGGAGUAUGGAAGAGGUGAGUGGAAUUCCGAGUGUAGAGGUGAAAUUCGUAGAUAUUCGGAGGAACACCAGUGGCGAAGGCGGCUCACUGGUCCAUUACUGACGCUGAGGUGCGAAAGCGUGGGGAGCAAACAGGAUUAGAUACCCCGGUAGUCCCUGUCUCUUAUAA
Molecule: ribosomal RNA, 301 nt
Filed under: uncultured bacterium
Lineage: Bacteria
Description: partial 16S ribosomal RNA
Rfam family: Bacterial small subunit ribosomal RNA
Source: RNAcentral